Molecule: ribosomal RNA, 407 nt
Filed under: uncultured bacterium
Lineage: Bacteria
Description: partial 16S ribosomal RNA
Rfam family: Bacterial small subunit ribosomal RNA
Source: RNAcentral
GACGAACGCUGGCGGCGUGCCUAAUACAUGCAAGUAGGACGCAGUUGCGCACGGGUGAGUAACGCGUAGGUAACUACCUAUUAGAGGGGGAUAACUAUUGGAAACGAUAGCUAAUACCGCAUACUAGUAGAUGGACCUGCGUUGUAUUAGCUAGUAGGUAGGGUAAUGGCCUACCUAGGCAACGAUACAUAGCCGACCUGAGAGGGUGAUCGGCCACACUGGGAAUGGGACACGGGCCAGGCUCCUACGGGAGGCAGGAGGAGGGAAACUUCGGCAAAGGGGGGAAAGCUGAACGAGCAACGGCGCGGGAGUGAAGAAGGGUUUCGGAACGGAAAGCUCUGUUGUUAAGGAAGCGGUACUUAACCAGAAAGGGACGGCUAACUACGUGCCAACAGCCGCGGUAAUAC